RNAcentral lists this long non-coding RNA (345 nucleotides) under Phasianus colchicus (ring-necked pheasant). Its description in RNAcentral is "lncRNA (ENSPCLG00000013797.1)". The record is from RNAcentral. Lineage: Eukaryota; Metazoa; Chordata; Aves; Galliformes; Phasianidae.
UUUAUUUAUUUAUUUAUUUAUUUGUGUGCUUUUAUAUGUGAUUCUGACCUGGGGCACAAAGAGCAGUAGGGCAGCCUUUCAUUUGCAACAAGAAGCAAGCAAUGGAGAAGGGAGGUGCAGGAGAAGAGAAUGAAGAAGACCCAUCUUAUUGACAAAUGAUUGAGAGUACUUAACAGCAAAGAUCAAACAGUAGCCUGGAAAAUAAGGGGAUGCUCUGCUUACAUUGGCAUGACAUCUUACGCGAGCACAAAUGUUUCAGCAUGCCAUCACUUAGAUUUCUACCAGGGAAAAGGGCAGAGAUUUUGAGCAGAAUGGAGAAGACAAAGAAUCUUGCAUCAGUACUUU